This 569-nucleotide ribosomal RNA is filed under the name uncultured Gammaproteobacteria bacterium. Its description in RNAcentral is "bacterial SSU rRNA". It matches the Rfam family "Bacterial small subunit ribosomal RNA", at positions 812 to 1381 of the family's 1533-position model. Lineage: Bacteria; Pseudomonadati; Pseudomonadota; Gammaproteobacteria. The record is from RNAcentral.
UCGAUUUGGAGUUUGNUGCCCUGAGUGAUGGGCUCCGAAGCUAACGCGAUAAAUCGACCGCCUGGGGAGUACGGCCGCAAGGUUAAAACUCAAAUGAAUUGACGGGGGCCCGCACAAGCGGUGGAGCAUGUGGUUUAAUUCGAUGCAACGCGAAGAACCUUACCUGGUCUUGACAUCCACAGAAUCUUGCAGAGAUGCGAGAGUGCCUUCGGGAACUGUGAGACAGGUGCUGCAUGGCUGUCGUCAGCUCGUGUUGUGAAAUGUUGGGUUAAGUCCCGCAACGAGCGCAACCCUUAUCCUUUGUUGCCAGCGGUUUGGCCGGGAACUCAAAGGAGACUGCCGUUGAUAAAGCGGAGGAAGGUGGGGACGACGUCAAGUCAUCAUGGCCCUUACGACCAGGGCUACACACGUGCUACAAUGGCGUAUACAAAGGGAGGCGACCUCGCGAGAGCAAGCGGACCUCAUAAAGUACGUCUAAGUCCGGAUUGGAGUCUGCAACUCGACUCCAUGAAGUCGGAAUCGCUAGUAAUCGUGAAUCAGAAUGUCACGGUGAAUACGUUCCCGGGCCU